RNAcentral lists this long non-coding RNA (511 nucleotides) under Phoenix dactylifera (date palm). Its description in RNAcentral is "long non-coding RNA (PDAC_LNC001581)". The record is from RNAcentral. Lineage: Eukaryota; Viridiplantae; Streptophyta; Magnoliopsida; Arecales; Arecaceae.
UCCGGAAAUCUUUAUUCUCUCUUUUUUUUCACUUCUAUUGCUUGAAUUAAUUGGUUCUUGUUCUGGAUAGAAGGUUGCCAUAUUUGAUCUAUACCGAGUAACAUGUUGUUGUACAUGAUAUCAGAGUAAGAUUGGAGUAUGGCAAAGUGGUGUGGGACUUCGAUUAGAUUUAUUCAGAGCGUAGUUUUUGAAGUGGUGACUUGAUUAUUGGUGGUUUUGAAGGUAAUUGUUUGGCAUAAUUCUAAAGCUUCCAGUAAUUUAUUGUGCAUGUGGGCAAACAUGUAGACUCUAUUGUGGUCGACUUUAUCAACAUCAAUAUAGCUACUUUUGAUAUCAUUUGUCUUUGUAAGUUAAACAAUACUAAUUAUCCAAUUUGGAAGUCUAUGAUCAAUCAUAUUUGAUGGGACAAGAUUUUGAAAAGUCAGAGAUGAUGCUAAUAGAUUCUCUUGAUAAUGAGAUUGCAAGAAGAAAGUAGAAUUUGAAAGUUAAAAAGAUGAUGUGGAUUCUAUAA